AUUUUUUGGAACGUAGGAAACAUACCACUUGUCCUCUUGGGACACCUGACUGCUGACCUAAGUCCCCACUCAUACAUUCUAUUACUUUUGAUUGGGUAAUUGUGCUCGGGACGUUUCCAAAGCAGGUAAAGGUGGUGGGACAGGGUCUUUAGCCAAAAAAUGGAUUAUUUAACACCGUGCCUGGAUAGAUAUUUGAUGACCUUGACCUACACAACAAUGCUUGACUCAAAGGAUGAUUCUGCAGGCAAAGAUAUAAGCUUCGCCUGGGGCAAGGGAGUGGACGUGCGCGUGACAAACCGCCUGCGGGUCCCGCUGACACCGGACAACUUGCAGUCGCUUUCCUUCAGCAUUCCGGGCCUUCACACGCGACUCAACACACCACUGGAACAUGUAGGCCUGUUUCACUAUGGCCAUUUACUGGUGUACAACCUGCCAUCGGUGCCUGCCGACAAACCAGACGAAGACAGUGGGGUUUCCCUCGCUCCUCCAUUGAGCUGCUUUUAUUUGGGAGAGGACGGUGGAGAGGUACAGGGCUCAGCACGAGAUGAUGCGCCCGCGGGGAUUGUCUCAAACUCUGUCUCGCCGGAGGGUAACUGCUUGUAUUCAGCAGGACAACCUGAAGAUUCUCCAGUAAUAGACUCUCCAGAUUUGAGAGGCAGUGACGAGCAGUCUCUGUGCAGCGGUUCAGAGAACUUCUACACAUGUCCAUCUGCAGCCUCUCAGGACUCCGUUCCGUCCCCUUGGAGUGCUCAUUGGGCGUCAGCCGCCAUGUCCCCGCAUUAUGGGUCAGGGUCAUCACCAAACCUGCCUAGCUCCACACCGACCAGCGAAGAUCAUAGUGACAGUAAUGAGCUGUUGUCGGUGGAGUUCAAAGGGCGACGCUACGUGCGUGUCCUGUCCCGGGUCAAGCCUAGGACAGAUGAAGACGUGGAGGCCAGUUGGACGGUGACAGACUUCACGAAGCGCGGGGAGCCCGUGUUCUCUCUGCGGCUUGACUUCAUGCGGCCCCGACCACCCUUACCCCGGUGGAUGGAGGGCAUAGCAGAGAGGUACUGGUGAUGAUGAUGGGCUUGACAAGAGCUGGACAGUACAUGCCAAUUUUUACUGAUCUGCCUCCAAUGUUGAGAAACAUCUGACCAAUUCCCACUGUCAAAUAAACAAACUCCA
Molecule: long non-coding RNA, 1167 nt
Filed under: Salmo trutta (river trout)
Lineage: Eukaryota; Metazoa; Chordata; Actinopteri; Salmoniformes; Salmonidae
Description: lncRNA (ENSSTUG00000028659.1)
Source: RNAcentral